AAAAAGACAAACCCUGGGUUUCCGUGUCCAACUUUAACUUUCCGUCUUAUAUGAAAUUUUUUUAUAAUUCGUAUUUUCAUCGUUGUUAGAUGAUAAAACAUGAUUAAUAUUUUAUGCGUGACUUGUCUUUUUAAUUUUUUUCAUAAUUUUUUCAAAUAAGACGAACAGUCAAACGUUGGACACGGAAACUAGGGUUUGUCUUUUU
Molecule: microRNA precursor, 205 nt
Filed under: Oryza glumipatula
Lineage: Eukaryota; Viridiplantae; Streptophyta; Magnoliopsida; Poales; Poaceae
Description: MIR812 microRNA precursor family
Rfam family: MIR812 microRNA precursor family
Source: Rfam by way of RNAcentral